ACGAAGGGGGCUAGCGUUGUUCGGAAUUACUGGGCGUAAAGCGCGCGCAGGCGGUCUUCCAAGUCAGUGGUGAAAGCCCGGAGCUCAACUCCGGAACUGCCAUUGAAACUGUUGGACUUGAGUAUGAGAGAGGUGAGUGGAAUUCCCAGUGUAGAGGUGAAAUUCGUAGAUAUUGGGAAGAACACCGGUGGCGAAGGCGGCUCACUGGCUCAUUACUGACGCUCAGGCGCGACAGCGUGGGGAUCAAACAGGA
RNAcentral lists this ribosomal RNA (253 nucleotides) under uncultured prokaryote. Its description in RNAcentral is "partial 16S ribosomal RNA". It matches the Rfam family "Bacterial small subunit ribosomal RNA", at positions 525 to 777 of the family's 1533-position model. The record is from RNAcentral.